Non-coding RNA from Cherax quadricarinatus, 3171 nucleotides. The record is from RefSeq and is a predicted model, not a curated record. Lineage: Eukaryota; Metazoa; Arthropoda; Malacostraca; Decapoda; Parastacidae.
UCUAAAUAUAAUGCCUUAUGAUAAUGUAUAAACAAGGUUUGAAUACAGAUGUUUUAUUGGCUUUGCUUUAUCUAAGUUGAAGGAACUUAAGUUCAUGAUCUAAUAUUUCCACAACUGAAAAAUACAUUAAUGUACGAAAUAGGCUGAAAAAUAAAUUCAACAUUCAAAAUAUAAACAGAGAGAGAGAGGUGUGUACCUUUCGCUGUAUACACGUUGUAUACACAGUGUAUACACAGUGUAGAGUUUAAUCCCUAUUUAAGGCAUUAGAGUAUUCUUGACUGGUGAUGCAGGGGAAACAUGCAGUCUUGAUGACCCUCGUGAAGUAGUUAAAUUUUAAACCCAAUUAACCAAUUAAUUAAAUGCAGGAAAAUAUGGAUACCUUUGAUUAUAAGCUGAUAUCCGAUAGUAGAUGUAUUUUUUAUUUUUAUUUGAGUUCUUUGUGCAGUAUCAGAUGUAGUUUACGUGUGAAAAAAAUAUUAUUAAGCAUAAAAUAAGGCCACUAACAUGCAUGCGCAUGUCGGGCAGUGUAUGUUUUAUACAUAAUGUAUGUUGUUAUACAUGAUGUAUGUUGUUAUACAUGAUGUAUGUUGUUUUAUAUGAUGUAUGUUGUUUUACAUAUUGUUUAGUAUGUUGUUUUACAUGAUGUAUAAUUUACAAGGUGUGUCUCGUUGCACAUUGCCUAAUUCGCUUUACAGAUAAAUGAAUGUCCAUUAAGUCGUGUUGACGUGUAUGAGUGAUGGUAAUGACGUGAGUGAGAGUAACGAGAUGUGUUUAGUGCCACGGUUUUGAAGUUACAAGGUCAACACUGAAGUCAACACGAGGAGUGUGCAUUGUUUCUAAGCUGCUAGAUGUCACAAGGUCAGUACUGAGGUCAGAGAGGAGUGUGUCGUGUUUUGAAGUCGCUAGAUGUCACCUGGAUAUCACAGUAUCGAUACAGACGUCAAAGUAAUUUUUUUUAGGUAUUUGUAUGCAUCUUUGUACUAGUGUUUUGUAAUUUUAUUCUUUAUCUUCGUCUCAUGAAAUAGUUCUCUCUGUUAAUCAGAUAAACUGAGUGACAUGUAACACUAGGGUGUAUAUAACAUAGAAGGUCUGUGGAGAGUACCUUGUUGACAUGACCUUAAGUAAGACUUUUAACAGAGUGCCACACAAACGAAUGAUGAAGAGAGUGGCACUUACUAGUGAAGUGGCACUACACUAUACUGGUGGAGAGUGGCACUACACUAUACUGGAGGAGAGUGGCACUACACUAUACUGGUGGAGAGUGGCACUACACUAUACUGGUGGAGAGUGGCACUACACUAUACUAGAGGAGAGUGGCACUACACUAUACUGGUGGAGUGGCACUACACUAUACUGGAGGAGAGUGGCACUACACUAUACUGGAGGAGUGGCACUACACUAUACUGGUGGAGAGUGGCACUACACUAUACUGGAGGAGAGUGGCACUACACUAUACUAGAGGAGAGUGGCACUACACUAUACUGGUGGAGAGUGGCACUACACUAUACUAGAGGAGAGUGGCACUACACUAUACUGGUGGAGUGGCACUACACUAUACUGGAGGAGAGUGGCACUACACUAUACUGGAGGAGUGGCACUACACUAUACUGGUGGAGAGUGACUCUACACUAUAAUGGUGGAGAGUGGCGCUACACUAUACUGGUGGAGAGUGGCACUACACUAUACUGGUGGAGAGUGGCACUACACUAUACUGGUGGAGAGUGGCACUACACUGUACUGGAGGAGUGGCACUACACUAUACUGGUGGAGAGUGGCACUAUACUAUACUGGUGGAGUGGCACUACACUAUACUGGUGGAGAGUGGCACUACACUAUACUGGUGGAGAGUGGCACUACACUAUACUGGUGGAGAGUGGCACUACACUAUACUGGUGGAGAGUGGCACUACACUAUACUGGUGGAGAGUGGCACUACACUAUACUGGUGGAGAGUGGCACUACAUUGUACUGGAGUAGAAGUUCUGUUGGCUGAAACAUGACUGACUAAUAGGAAACAGAAAGUCUCCAAGAAUCGGAAGAAUUCAGAUAAGUGAGGAGUGACAAGUGGAGCGCCGCCACGAAGGUCAUUACUAGGCUCCUCGUUUCCAAUUUUCACGAACCUUCUGAACGUGGGAAUACAGAGUGACAUGAACCAGUUCCUUGACAAAACAAUAACGACAGAUAAAUUAUAGAGCGGACUGCACGGAGCCUCAAGAGAGUUUAGAUACCUUAAUAUGAUCAGAAUACUCGUAGAUUGCAGUUCAUUAUGAAGAAUGUGAAAUCUUAAUUUUUUUCUUGGGGGGGGGGGGAGAAAAUAACAGCAAAACAAAUAAGCUAUAGGAUCCAGCGGGGCCGCAUGCGGCAGAGUUCUAGCUAACAAAUCUGAAGUCAGAUUAAAAAUAUGCAUAAGAGUUUGCAAUAAAGGUAUUAAACCGCUUGGCUUCAUAAUAAGUUUAGUACCAGAACUCCCAAGAUUUUAGCACAGCUUUAUACAUCGCUGAUAAAGCCUCAGGUAAAGUUAGCGACCCAGUAUAACUUUACACAUUGUAGAAUAGAUAACAAACAAGAGAAGUAUUGUAAAGGUAAUCCCGUCUUUCAGAAAUUUUCCAAAGAACAGAAGCACUGAAAUUCUUGCACUUCAACAUCUAAGUGGUGUGCGAUAACUAGAGCAAGAUUCAUGCAGCUAUUGGUAUAUGCAGGUGCACUUUGACGAAAGAUAUAGAACCUUUUCAAAGAUCCCUGAAGUGGGUCUGAUAACCUUAAAAAUUCUCUGCUGCUUGGCUUUAAACAUUCAAAAAUGAUAACAUCUACUACGAGGACAGCGACGAGUGAAACUAAGUUGUGAGGCUGCGCAGAGACCAAUUGUAUCUGCCAGGUAGUGUUCAAUUUUUAUUCCCAUUAAUCAUGUUAAGUAUUGCUGAUUUUUCUUCUUAAUGGUAAUAAUGUUGGUAGAAUUACGGACAAUAUGAAGGUAAAAGGACACAAGUGCAACUAAUGUGACAUUUUAUUGUAGCAACAUUUCCCUCUCCAGGAGCUCCGUCAAGCCGUUACAAACAUUACAUGGACACAGAGGGGUGUAUAUAUAUAAUAUAUAUAUAUAUAUAUAUAUAUAUAUAUAUAUAUGUAUAUAUAUAUAUAUAUAUAUAUAUAUAUAUAUAUAUAUAUAUAUAUA